Molecule: non-coding RNA, 1419 nt
Organism: Meleagris gallopavo (turkey)
Lineage: Eukaryota; Metazoa; Chordata; Aves; Galliformes; Phasianidae
Source: RefSeq, a predicted model, not a curated record
GGAGGGCUUACAUAGGAGAUCCCACCUCGCCUCACCGCAGCUCCAGCCCGCGUGGGCCCGCGUUUCCUGCGGUGAUGCGGUCUUAGGAAGUUAGCAUUAAGGACACCCCUGAUGUCUCAGCCACCCAGCCCCAGGAUUACAGGCUUUGGGACCUCUAUCAAGCUGUUUUUGUCACCUGCUCUGGAGCUCCCUACUCCCUUUGCUUUCCAUCCAAAGGGUAGCACUCGGGAUUAAAGAUGAAAACCCUACAACCCCACACCAAGGAUCAGAGCCACUUCAGGUCACAUUUCAGCCAGAGUCAUGUGUCAAAUCAGUUAUCCUGCAAUGGCACUCACACUGUUUCAGGUCUAGGGAAGUCCGAGUUUCUGCAGCCUGGUCCUAUCUGAUUUCCUGGUGCCCACAGCGGGAGAGUGAAUAAUUUAUCUCCCAUCCUCCAUCUCCCUUCCUGUUCAGGUUUCAUCUCUGUUUCACCCCUAUGCUGAUGUUUCUGUGGAACAGCAGAGCCAGCGUCAGCAGUACAUGGAGCAAGAGAAAUAAUGUGUGAACAGUAUGAAUGAUAAGAUCUCCAGACAGGUCCCACACAGUAGCACAAAGAGGCCCUAAUUGAAUUUGGAGCUGUGUUGUACCGAGCGCCACGGAAAUACACAGUGGGACAGAGUUUCUGGAGAACACACAAUCUGCUUGAGAACGUGUCCCUGCGAGAAGGAAUUUAUUUGAUCUCCCUUGAUGUUUUAAGAUAUGCAAAUAAACAAAACGGGUGCCAAUGUUAGCAGGAAAACCUAUUUUAUCUUAUGAAUUUUUAAAUAUCGUGUUUCCAUUUCUUUGUUGUUCCUAUGUUUCUUCACAUUGCCUAACAUCUUUUUUUUUAAAGUGUGAUGCAGAUUGUCAAGCAUCGCUUCAGUUACAGAUUAUUAGGAGAUUCAUUUCAGAAGUUGCAGGUGUAUACUUCUCUUUUUUUUCUUUUAAUGAAAAUAUAACAUUGUCUGUUGUUAUCUGUAUGUGUAUACACACAUUUUCAAUAAAUUCAGCAAGGUAUUUAAUACUUUUGUCUUUUUUUUCAUGGUUCUGUUACAGAAGCUUCAUUCCCCGAAAGACUUAUUUGCUUCAAUGCUUUUUCUUUUACCUAAGGCACUCUUCAUUGGCUGCCCUGUAUAUUCAGUGCUGUGGAAGAAAACCAAACACAUCCAAAACUAAUUCAUAAAAUUCAGCUAAUUCAUAUUUCCAAGCUGGCUCAGCAAACUUCGUUAUGCUGUGACAGCCGUGGGUAGCUUUGCAUAAAGCUUCCAGCAGCACAGCCCGCCUCUGCCUUGGGCUUUCCAUUCUAAUGGAUGCUGGUGGGCAAGUUACAAACCACCAACGCCAGCAAAGCUCCUGCUGCUCCCUACCUCAUAUUCUCCCACAUUUCAUAAAAUCAUUAAG